RNAcentral lists this ribosomal RNA (911 nucleotides) under Clostridia bacterium TSAR48. Its description in RNAcentral is "bacterial SSU rRNA". It matches the Rfam family "Bacterial small subunit ribosomal RNA", at positions 78 to 1006 of the family's 1533-position model. Lineage: Bacteria; Bacillati; Bacillota; Clostridia. The record is from RNAcentral.
UGAAGAUUAACUGGAAAGCGGCGGACGGGUGAGUAACGCGUGGGCAACCUGCCCUGUGCAGAGGGAUAGCCACUGGAAACGGUGAUUAAUACCUCAUAAUGCUAAAGUAUCGCAUGGUACUUUAGUCAAAGAUUUAUCGGCACAGGAUGGGCCCGCGUCUGAUUAGCUAGUUGGUAAGGUAAAAGCUUACCAAGGCGACGAUCAGUAGCCGACCUGAGAGGGUGAUCGGCCACACUGGAACUGAGACACGGUCCAGACUCCUACGGGAGGCAGCAGUGGGGAAUAUUGCACAAUGGGCGCAAGCCUGAUGCAGCAACGCCGCGUGAGUGAUGAAGGCUUUCGGGUCGUAAAACUCUGUCCUCAGGGAAGAAUAAUGACGGUACCUGAGGAGGAAGCCCCGGCUAACUACGUGCCAGCAGCCGCGGUAAUACGUAGGGGGCGAGCGUUAUCCGGAAUCAUUGGGCGUAAAGGGUGUGUAGGCGGUUUGUUAAGCGAGAGGUGAAAGGCUAUGGCUCAACCAUAGUAAGCCUUUCGAACUGGCAAACUUGAGUGCAGGAGAGGAGAGCGGAAUUCCUAGUGUAGCGGUGAAAUGCGUAGAUAUUAGGAGGAACACCAGUGGCGAAGGCGGCUCUCUGGACUGCAACUGACGCUGAGGCACGAAAGCGUGGGGAGCAAACAGGAUUAGAUACCCCUGGUAGUCCACGCCGUAAACGAUGAAUGCUAGGUGUCGGGGGUCAAACCUCGGUGCCGGAGUUAACGCAAUAAGCAUUCCGCCUGGGGAGUACGAUCGCAAGAUUGAAACUCAAAGGAAUUGACGGGGGACCCGCACAAGCAGCGGAGCAUGUGGGUUUAAUUCGAAGCAACGCGAAGAACCUUACCAGAACUUGACAUACCAAUGACCAAUCCGUAAU